UCCAGACUCCUACGGGAGGCAGCAGUGAGGAAUAUUGGUCAAUGGCCGGAAGGCUGAACCAGCCAAGCCGCGUGAAGGACGAAGGUGCCAAGCAUUGUAAACUUCUUUUGUCAAGGGACAAAAUCAGGCUCGAGAGCCUGACCGAGGGUACUUGAAGAAAAAGCAUCGGCUAACUCCGUGCCAGCAGCCGCGGUAAUACGUAGGGGGCGAGCGUUAUCCGGAAUUACUGGGUGUAAAGGGAGCGUAGACGGCGAGGUAAGCCUGAAGUGGAAGCCCGCGGCCCAACCGCGGAACUGCUUUGGGAACUGUUUUGCUGGAGUAUGGGAGGGGUAAGCGGAAUUCCUGGUGUAGCGGUGAAAUGCGUAGAUAUCAGGAGGAACACCGGUGGCGAAGGCGGCUUACUGGACUGUAACUGACGUUGAGGCUCGAAAGCGUGGGGAGCAAACAGGAUUAGAUACCCCCGUACA
RNAcentral lists this ribosomal RNA (467 nucleotides) under uncultured bacterium. RNAcentral describes it as "bacterial SSU rRNA". It matches the Rfam family "Bacterial small subunit ribosomal RNA", at positions 330 to 794 of the family's 1533-position model. The record is from RNAcentral.